UACAGAGGGUGCGAGCGUUGUUCGGAAUUACUGGGCGUAAAGCGCGCGCAGGCGGAUCCUGCAAGUCCGGAGUGAAAUCUCACCGCUCAACGGUGAGGCUGCUUUGGAUACUGCGGAUCUGGAGACCGGUAGAGGCUGGUAGAAUUGCAGGUGUAGCGGUGGAAUGCGUAGAUAUCUGGAGGAACACCGGUGGCGAAGGCGGCGUUCUGGACUGUAACUGACACUGAGGAACGAAAGCCAGGGGAGCAAACGGG
Molecule: ribosomal RNA, 254 nt
Filed under: uncultured bacterium
Lineage: Bacteria
Description: partial 16S ribosomal RNA
Rfam family: Bacterial small subunit ribosomal RNA
Source: RNAcentral